Molecule: long non-coding RNA, 2515 nt
Filed under: Dromaius novaehollandiae (emu)
Lineage: Eukaryota; Metazoa; Chordata; Aves; Casuariiformes; Dromaiidae
Description: lncRNA (ENSDNVG00000014722.1)
Source: RNAcentral
UUAAUCUCUACUAUUUAAAUUGCUAAUUUGCGCAGAUCUAGCUAAACAGAUAGCCCAUAUAUGUACCAUUUUCCUUACCCUUUCUUAAGCAGAAUAAAUUCCUGGGGGACCUAUUUUGCAAGCUUCUUUACUGAGAUUUCUAUACAGAAAUAAGAUGGAGCCUUUUCAGAUGCCAGUGUCAAAGYUGUGGUAUUAUCAGUAGGAAACAAAAGUGAAACAGAACCAUUAUAGUUCCUGGGUUUUGUAUACAAGAACUUUUGCUUGCUUUAGAUGGCAAAUUCCUGCUAAACUAACAUUUCUGUAAGCAAUUACAGUGUCUAUACCAGUGCUGCUAUAAUGAAAGGGAAUGUCCUUAUCUGAACUGGUUGUGAUUGUGUUGAUAGAUAUGAAUAGAUUGUGUCAGUCACAAUCUGACACAUCUGAAAGAAUACUCUUUCACUGAACAUGAAAGAUAAUGGUCAUAAUAUUGGUUCAGUCUCCAUUUUCAUACCAACAACACCCUUUCCUUAAAAAAAACUUAGCUAAAAUAAUUAAGCUUAUAAAACAGACUAACUAAAAAUCUAAAUGAAUUGUGAAGAACACUGUUGACAAAUGGGCUUUAUAAGGGUGGAGCCUAACUGAAAUGGAUGGAGAGGCCAGUAGGAAUCUCGUUAUAAAUGGAAAGGAUCAUUCCAUACAGUUAAACACUGCCUUGAACACCUAGCUUUUGGCUUGACUGUGGGAAGGAGUCUAAAGUACUGGGUGAUUUUUCAUACGUGUCUAGAUACAGUGAUGGGCAAAGUGCAGCAUAUUUACCCUGUCAUUCCCUUUUAUCAGUGUUAGUUAUUAAGCAAGUAGUGGAAAUCAAAAUCAACCUUGAUAUAAACAUUCUGUAGACAUUUCUCAUUAGGUAAACUACAUGUAUUCCAUAUAUUUGUUUCAGGGUCUGUCUCCCAUGGAUGCAUGCCAGACUGUCCUUUGGGAUAUAGUCCAACGAGUAGGAAAAGAAAAUAUGUUUAAACUUGGCAUAAUUGCAAUGAAUAUAAAGGGAGAAACUGGAGCUGCAUCACUGAUGCCAUUUCCGUACUGUGUUUGCUCUCAGGAAAGGGAAUCCAUUGAUGAAUUAGUGCAACAAGCCCACCGGCCGUGAAAGAAUACUCCUUACAAAAAAAUCCACGGGUGACUUCUAGGCCAGAUAGGUCAUUCCUCACCCUCAGUGGUAAGCAGUGCAAGCAGUCUUUGAGGUCUGGGGAAAACUGCUUGGUAUACCUGGAAAUCAGUCUAAUUAUUUAGGCAUCUAAAUACAGAAUUUUGAAUUUAACACUAUGCAUCUUAUAAACAAACAAAAAAGAAAAAUUAAUUUCAGCUGAGGCUAUUUUAGUCUUGAAUCAUGCUUUUCUACCACAUUUCAGUAAUGUGUGCCAUGCAUCUCAUUACCUUUGCUUUUCUGGGCUUUUUCUUUUAAAUUUUUCAGUCAUCGUACAGUGUUAUUUAGAUCUAACUCAGCACCCUUUCAUCAUGCUGAGUGGUUCCAGUGAAUAAUGGUUGUAGGACUGGCCUGCUAGUAAUUCAGGGUUGCUGUCUUUUAUCUUGAAAAUGAAAUACCUCUACUGGACUUAAGAGUUGCUUGCCUUAUGUAUGUCGUGUGUGUAAAUAAUAUGGACUAGAUGUACCAGGUCAGUGCAGACACAGUGCAAUCCUUUUUAAAAAAAGUUCAGCCAGUCAUUAAUAYUUUGUAUUGUAGGAGACAAUUUCCACAUUUAACUGAAUCUUGAGUUUAAUAUCUUAAUUUCAGCUAUGUACAAUCCAGAUAAAGGAUUCAUGUCUGUACUCAUUUUGUACACACUCUUGAUACAGCGUUUGAAAGUCAGAUGAGCCUUCAAAAUUUGCAAGUGAUGAUCUGUAUAARGUAAAAUGUAUUGCCUAUUUGUUGAUGCCUGUAAGCAUACCUAUUUCACUAAAGCAGAAGCUACAUUCAUUAUCYUGUAUGGACUAAAUGCUGAUGUGCUUCCUUCUCACAUUGUUUUUGCUACUGUGGUAGAGUUUUACCACUUGAAUUCACUGACUAAUGUUCUUGACUUUUAGGCAGGGUGAAWCCUUUAUUAAUUUUAAUUUUUCAAAAUCUGUUACCCACUAAUCACAUAAGUAUACCAACAGYUGUAAAUUCUUUGCAAUAUUUCACAGUUCAAAAACAUUUUUAUUUUCUUCUGCAAAGAUUUUAUUAAACUGACCUGUACCAUCCUCCUCACAGGACCGUAGYGGUGUACCCUAGUAUCCAUGAUACAAAUUAGGAGAUUUGGUCUGAAAUAAUAGAGAUAAUAUGUAAUCCUGAACUGACAUCUGAAGGACUGGUUACAGGUCUGUAAGUCAGCCUCAGUUAGUAUAGUCAGUCCUGUGUUAGGGUCAAGAGUAAGACAUUUUACUCUUUUAACAAAUUAUCCAAAGCCUGAGCUUUUUUUUCAGCUUUUGUUACAUUUCAGGAUUCAUGCUGAAUAACAAUAAUAAAAGAUGAAUCCUAUCUGUUUUUCUCUUGAUU